AACGAACGCUGGCGGCAUGCCUAACACAUGCAAGUCGAACGAGACCUUCGGGUCUAGUGGCGCACGGGUGCGUAACGCGUGGGAACCUGCCCUUAGGUUCGGAAUAACUCCCCGAAAGGGGUGCUAAUACCGGAUAAUGUCUUCGGACCAAAGAUUUAUCGCCUUUGGAUGGGCCCGCGUUGGAUUAGCUAGUUGGUAGGGUAAAAGCCUACCAAGGCGAAGAUCCAUAGCUGGUCUGAGAGGAUGAUCAGCCACACUGGGACUGAGACACGGCCCAGACCUCUACGGGAGGAAGGAGUGGGGAAUAUUGGACAAUGGGCGAAAGCCUGAUGCAGCAAUGCCGCGUGAGUGAUGAAGGCCUUAGGGUUGUAAAGCUCUUUUACCCGGGAUGAUAAUGACAGUACCGGGAGAAUAAGCGCCGGCUAACUCCGUG
RNAcentral lists this ribosomal RNA (433 nucleotides) under uncultured bacterium. RNAcentral describes it as "partial 16S ribosomal RNA". It matches the Rfam family "Bacterial small subunit ribosomal RNA", at positions 29 to 507 of the family's 1533-position model. The record is from RNAcentral.